GUGAGUAACACGUGGGCAACCUGCCUGUAAGACUGGGAUAACUUCGGGAAACCGAAGCUAAUACCGGAUAGGAUCUUCUCCUUCAUGGGAGAUGAUUGAAAGAUGGUUUCGGCUAUCACUUACAGAUGGGCCCGCGGUGCAUUAGCUAGUUGGUGAGGUAACGGCUCACCAAGGCAACGAUGCAUAGCCGACCUGAGAGGGUGAUCGGCCACACUGGGACUGAGACACGGCCCAGACUCCUACGGGAGGCAGCAGUAGGGAAUCUUCCGCAAUGGACGAAAGUCUGACGGAGCAACGCCGCGUGAGUGAUGAAGGCUUUCGGGUCGUAAAACUCUGUUGUUAGGGAAGAACAAGUACGAGAGUAACUGCUCGUACCUUGACGGUACCUAACCAGAAAGCCACGGCUAACUACGUGCCAGCAGCCGCGGUAAUACGUAGGUGGCAAGCGUUAUCCGGAAUUAUUGGGCGUAAAGCGCGCGCAGGCGGUUUCUUAAGUCUGAUGUGAAAGCCCACGGCUCAACCGUGGAGGGUCAUUGGAAACUGGGGAACUUGAGUGCAGAAGA
Molecule: ribosomal RNA, 563 nt
Filed under: Priestia megaterium
Lineage: Bacteria; Bacillati; Bacillota; Bacilli; Caryophanales; Bacillaceae
Description: bacterial SSU rRNA
Rfam family: Bacterial small subunit ribosomal RNA
Source: RNAcentral